CAAGUCGAACGGCAGCGGGAAAGUAGCUUGCUACUUUUGCCGGCGAGUGGCGAACGGGUGAGUAAUGUAUCGGAACGUGCCCAGUAGCGGGGGAUAACUACGCGAAAGCGUGGCUAAUACCGCAUACGCCCUACGGGGGAAAGGGGGGGAUCUUAGGACCUCUCACUAUUGGAGCGGCCGAUAUCGGAUUAGCUAGUUGGUGGGGUAAAGGCCUACCAAGGCGACGAUCCGUAGCUGGUUUGAGAGGACGACCAGCCACACUGGGACUGAGACACGGCCCAGACUCCUACGGGAGGCAGCAGUGGGGAAUUUUGGACAAUGGGGGAAACCCUGAUCCAGCCAUCCCGCGUGUGCGAUGAAGGCCUUCGGGUUGUAAAGCACUUUUGUCAGGGAAGAAAAGGUUUCGGAUAAUACCCGGAACUGAUGACGGUACCUGAAGAAUAAGCACCGGCUAACUACGUGCCAGCAGCCGCGGUAAUACGUAGGGUGCAAGCGUUAAUCGGCAAUUACUGGGCGUAAAGCGUGCGCAGGCGGUUCGGAAAGAAAGAUGUGAAAUCCCAGGGCUCAACCUUGGAACUGCAUUUUUAACUACCGAACUAGAGUAUGUCAGAGGGGGGUGGAAUUCCACGUGUAGCAGUGAAAUGCGUAGAUAUGUGGAGGAACACCGAUGGCGAAGGCAGCCCCCUGGGAUAAUACUGACGCUCAUGCACGAAAGCGUGGGGAGCAAACAGGAUUAGAUACCCUGGUAGUCCACGCCCUAAACGAUGUCAACUAGCUGUUGGGCCCUUCGGGGCUUAGUAGCGCAGCUAACGCGUGAAGUUGACCGCCUGGGGAGUACGGUCGCAAGAUUAAAACUCAAAGGAAUUGACGGGGACCCGCACAAGCGGUGGAUGAUGUGGGAUUAAUUCGAUGCAACCGCGAAAAAACCUUACCUACCCUUGACAUGUCUGGAAUCCUGAAGAGAUUUAGGAGUGCUCGCAAGAGAACCGGAACACAGGUGCUGCAUGGCUGUCGUCACUCGUGUCGUGAGAUGUUGGUUAAGUCCCGCAACGAGCGCAACCCUUGUCAUUAGUUGCUACAUUUAGUUGAGCACUCUAAUGAGACUGCCGGUGACAAACCGGAGGAAGGUGGGGAUGACGUCAAGUCCUCAUGGCCCUUAUGGGUAGGGCUUCACACGUCAUACAAUGGUCGGGACAGAGGGUUGCCAAACCGCAAGGUGGAGCUAAUCUCAUAAACCCGAUCGUAGUCCGGAUUGCAGGCUGCAACUCGCCUGCAUGAAGUCGGAAUCGCUAGUAAUCGCGGAUCAGCAUGUCGCGGUGAAUACGUUCCCGGG
This 1333-nucleotide ribosomal RNA is filed under the name Advenella kashmirensis. Its description in RNAcentral is "bacterial SSU rRNA". It matches the Rfam family "Bacterial small subunit ribosomal RNA", at positions 58 to 1378 of the family's 1533-position model. The record is from RNAcentral. Lineage: Bacteria; Pseudomonadati; Pseudomonadota; Betaproteobacteria; Burkholderiales; Alcaligenaceae.